GUUUGAUCCUGGCUCAGAUUGAACGCUGGCGGCAUGCCUUACACAUGCAAGUCGAACGGUAACAGGUCUUCGGAUGCUGACGAGUGGCGAACGGGUGAGUAAUACAUCGGAACGUGCCCGAUCGUGGGGGAUAACGAAGCGAAAGCUUUGCUAAUACCGCAUACGAUCUACGGAUGAAAGCAGGGGACCGCAAGGCCUUGCGCGAACGGAGCGGCCGAUGGCAGAUUAGGUAGUUGGUGGGAUAAAAGCUUACCAAGCCGACGAUCUGUAGCUGGUCUGAGAGGACGACCAGCCACACUGGGACUGAGACACGGCCCAGACUACUACGGGAGGCAGCAGUGGGGAA
This 346-nucleotide ribosomal RNA is filed under the name Ochromonas sp. CCMP1393. Its description in RNAcentral is "partial Bacterial small subunit ribosomal RNA". It matches the Rfam family "Bacterial small subunit ribosomal RNA", at positions 11 to 361 of the family's 1533-position model. The record is from RNAcentral. Lineage: Eukaryota; Chrysophyceae; Chromulinales; Chromulinaceae.